GUGGAGUAGCUUGCUACGAAGCAAUCUAGCGGCGGACGGGUGAGUAACGCGUGGGCAACCUGCCCUAUACAGGGGGAUAACACACCGAAAGGUGUGCUAAUACCCCAUGACACUAAGAAUUCGCAUGUUUUCUUAGUCAAAGAUUUAUCGGUAUAGGAUGGGCCCGCGUCUGAUUAGCUAGUUGGUGAGGUAAUGGCUCACCAAGGCGACGAUCAGUAGCCGACCUGAGAGGGUGAUCGGCCACACUGGAACUGAGACACGGUCCAGACUCCUACGGGAGGCAGCAGUGGGGAAUAUUGCACAAUGGGGGAAACCCUGAUGCAGCAACGCCGCGUGAGCGAUGAAGGCCUUCGGGUCGUAAAGCUCUGUCCUAAGGGAAGAAUAAUGACGGUACCUUAGGAGGAAGCCCCGGCUAACUACGUGCCAGCAGCCGCGGUAAUACGUAGGGGGCAAGCGUUAUCCGGAAUCACUGGGCGUAAAGGGUGCGUAGGCGGCCGAUAAAGUCUGGGGUGAAAGGCUACGGCUUAACCGUAGUAAGCCUUGGAAACUUAUUGGCUUGAGUGCAGGAGAGGUAAGUGGAAUUCCUAGUGUAGCGGUGAAAUGCGUAGAUAUUAGGAGGAACACCAGUGGCGAAGGCGACUUACUGGACUGUAACUGACGCUGAGGCACGAAAGCGUGGGGAGCGAACAGGAUUAGAUACCCUGGUAGUCCACGCCGUAAACGAUGAGUGCUAGGUGUCGGGGGCGACAGCCCUCGGUGCCGCAGCUAACGCAUUAAGCACUCCGCCUGGGGAGUACGCU
This 800-nucleotide ribosomal RNA is filed under the name uncultured Bacillota bacterium. RNAcentral's name for it is "bacterial SSU rRNA". It matches the Rfam family "Bacterial small subunit ribosomal RNA", at positions 66 to 886 of the family's 1533-position model. The record is from RNAcentral. Lineage: Bacteria; Bacillati; Bacillota.